This 728-nucleotide long non-coding RNA is filed under the name Theobroma cacao (cacao). RNAcentral describes it as "long non-coding RNA (TCAC_LNC004243)". Lineage: Eukaryota; Viridiplantae; Streptophyta; Magnoliopsida; Malvales; Malvaceae. The record is from RNAcentral.
CAUAAACUUGAGACCCAGGAUCAUUUGUAUUAAUAUGAAAAUAUACCUUCCAUGGGAUUUCAUUAGUCUGUUAGAAGGCUUUGGUAUGGUCAUGUAUGUGUCACAGUGGUCCUAGCAGAAAUUAGGUAACAGAUCACAAUCUAAAGGCAGAAAUGCAACAGGCUCUCCUUUCAGGUUUGAGAUACUGUGAUUAAUACUACCGUAAAGAGAGAAUCUUAUGGUUCCUCAUUGAAGUAUUUGUGAACCAUGGAAACCUGAAAUCCUGGAUGUAGCCUGGGAGAACAACUGAAUAUGAUAAUUCCACCAUUGCUAGAAACUUAGGUUGGUUGAAAUUGUGCUGCUAUUACAUAAGCCAUUCAUCUUUUCAAAGAUCGAGUUGUGCAAGUGGCUGUCUAUAAAGAAGGCUAUAAAGAGCAAAGUUGAGGGCCUUCACAGAUGGAAAAAGUUGGUGCAUACUUUUAGAAUAGUGUAAUCCUGGAAAUUAACCUGCAUUUGAAGUUAGCUUGCAGUCAGAUUUUGUAGGAUGUAAACGACAAUGACAAUCACUUCCCAACUACAACAUAUCAACAGAUUGUGAAUAUCUUUCUUUACCAUCUGUCCCCCCUCCCCCUCCCCCUCCAUUUCUGUUUUAAAAAGAAAGAUAAAGGUCAAAUUCACACCUAAUUAUCAGCAACGUUCUGAUAGAAGCAACACCUUAUAGAUAGUAUCCACCUGAUAUCUCAUUAUUG